GACGAACGCUGGCGGCGUGCUUAACACAUGCAAGUCGAACGGAAAGGCCAGUGCUUGCACUGGUACUCGAGUGCGAACGGGUGAGUAACACGUGGGUGAUCUGCCUUUCACUCUGGGAUAAGCUUGGGAAACUGGGUCUAAUACCGGAUAUGAACUGCCUUUAGUGUGGUGGUUGGAAAGUUUUUUCGGUGCAAGAUGAGCUCGCGGCCUAUCAGCUUGUUGGUGGGGUAAUGGCCUACCAAGGCGUCGACGGGUAGCCGGCCUGAGAGGGUGUACGGCCACAUUGGGACUGAGAUACGGACCAGACUCCUACGGGAGGCAGCAGUGGGGAAUAUUGCACAAUGGGCGGAAGCCUGAUGCAGCGACGCCGCGUGGGGGAUGACGGCCUUCGGGUUGUAAACUCCUUUCGACAGGGACGAAGCGUAAGUGACGGUACCUGUAUAAGAAGCACCGGCUAACUACGUG
This 465-nucleotide ribosomal RNA is filed under the name uncultured bacterium. RNAcentral describes it as "partial 16S ribosomal RNA". It matches the Rfam family "Bacterial small subunit ribosomal RNA", at positions 28 to 507 of the family's 1533-position model. The record is from RNAcentral.